GCCGGGCAUACUGGUGGAUGCCUGUAAUCCCAGCUACUUGGGAGGCUGAGGCAGGAGAAUCACUUGAACCCAGGAGGUGGAGGUUGCAGUGAGCAAAGGUCAUGCCACUGCACUCUUGCCUGGGCAGCAAAGUGAGACUCUGUCUCAA
Unclassified non-coding RNA from Papio anubis (olive baboon), 148 nucleotides. It matches the Rfam family "Metazoan signal recognition particle RNA". Rfam says of the family: The signal recognition particle (SRP) is a universally conserved ribonucleoprotein. It is involved in the co-translational targeting of proteins to membranes. NCBI's taxonomy places the organism in Eukaryota, Metazoa, Chordata, Mammalia, Primates, Cercopithecidae. The record is from Ensembl.